RNAcentral lists this ribosomal RNA (467 nucleotides) under uncultured bacterium. Its description in RNAcentral is "partial 16S ribosomal RNA". It matches the Rfam family "Bacterial small subunit ribosomal RNA", at positions 28 to 507 of the family's 1533-position model. The record is from RNAcentral.
GACGGACGCUGGCGGCGUGCUUAACACAUGCAAGUCGAACGGAAAGGCUCCAGCUUGCUGGAGUACUCGAGUGGCGAACGGGUGAGUAACACGUGGGUAAUCUGCCCUGCACUCUGGGAUAAGCCUGGGAAACUGGGUCUAAUACUGGAUAUGACCUUUCUCCUUAUGGGGUUUGGUGGAAAGUUUUUCGGUGUAGGAUGAGCCCGCGGCCUAUCAGCUUGUUGGUGGGGUGAUGGCCUACCAAGGCGACGACGGGUAGCCGGCCUGAGAGGGUGAUCGGCCACAUUGGGACUGAGAUACGGCCCAGACUCCUACGGGAGGCAGCAGUGGGGAAUAUUGCACAAUGGGCGGAAGCCUGAUGCAGCGACGCCGCGUGAGGGAUGACGGCCUUCGGGUUGUAAACCUCUUUCAGCAGGGACGAAGCGUAAGUGACGGUACCUGCAGAAGAAGCACCGGCUAACUAUGUG